This 544-nucleotide ribosomal RNA is filed under the name Fusarium oxysporum. RNAcentral describes it as "eukaryotic LSU rRNA". The stretch from base 123 to 277 matches the Rfam family "5.8S ribosomal RNA". Lineage: Eukaryota; Fungi; Ascomycota; Sordariomycetes; Hypocreales; Nectriaceae. The record is from RNAcentral.
GUGCCAUACAACUUGUUGCCUGUGCCGAUCUUGCUUCUCCCGGUAAAACGGUUCGGCCCGCCAGAGGACCCCUAACCUCUGUUUCUAUAUGUAACUUCUGAGUAAAACCUUAAACUGAUCAAAACUUUCAACAACUUGAUCUCUUGGUUCUGGCAUCAAUGAAUAACGCAUGGAACUGUUGUAACCAGUGUGAAUUGCAAAAUUCACUGAAUCAUCUAAUCUUUGAACACUGAUUGAGCCCGCCAAUAUUCUGGCCUUUAUGCCUGUUUGCGCCCAUUUCAACCCUCGGGCGCAUGUUGGUGUUAGGACUCUUGUUGAUUCUCGUUCCUCAAAUGGAUUGGGGGUCACCUCCACCUUCCCUAGGGGAACAGUAAAACCCUCGUUACUGGGAAUCGUCUCGGACCCUCCAUUGAACCCCGACUUCUGAAUGUUGACCUCGGAUCAGGCAGGAAUAGCCGCUGAACUUAAGCAUAUUUUUAGGGCGUGACCUCGGAUCAGGUAGGGAUACCCGCUGAACUUAAGCAUAUCAAUAAGCGGGAGGAAA